This 493-nucleotide ribosomal RNA is filed under the name uncultured bacterium. RNAcentral describes it as "bacterial SSU rRNA". It matches the Rfam family "Bacterial small subunit ribosomal RNA", at positions 36 to 524 of the family's 1533-position model. The record is from RNAcentral.
CUGGCGGCGGCCUACACAUGCNAGUCGAGCGGCAGCACGGGUACUUGUACCUGGUGGCGAGCGGCGGACGGGUGAGUAAUGCCUAGGAAUCUGCCUGGUAGUGGGGGAUAACGCUCGGAAACGGACGCUAAUACCGCAUACGUCCUACGGGAGAAAGCAGGGGACCUUCGGGCCUUGCGCUAUCAGAUGAGCCUAGGUCGGAUUAGCUAGUUGGUGAGGUAAUGGCUCACCAAGGCGACGAUCCGUAACUGGUCUGAGAGGAUGAUCAGUCACACUGGAACUGAGACACGGUCCAGACUCCUACGGGAGGCAGCAGUGGGGAAUAUUGGACAAUGGGCGAAAGCCUGAUCCAGCCAUGCCGCGUGUGUGAAGAAGGUCUUCGGAUUGUAAAGCACUUUAAGUUGGGAGGAAGGGCAUUUACCUAAUACGUAAGUGUUUUGACGUUACCGACAGAAUAAGCACCGGCUAAUUCUGUGCCAGCAGCCGCGGUAAU